GUUGGGUAUGCUGGUGCACACCUGCAGUCCCAGCUACCCAGGAGGCUGAGGAUUGCUGGAGCCCAUUUCUGGGCCGCAUUGCACUGUGCUGAUCAGUUGUCCACACUAAGUUUGGCGUCAGUGUGGUUACCUCCCAGGAGCGAGGGACCACCAAGUCGCUUAAGUAGGGGUGAACUGGCUAGGUCAGAAACAGAGCAGGUCAGAGCUCCCAUGCUGAUCAAUAGUGGAAUCACGCCUGUGGUAGCCACUGUGCUCCAGCCUGGGCAAUAUAGCAAGCCUCU
Molecule: unclassified non-coding RNA, 281 nt
Organism: Cebus imitator (Panamanian white-faced capuchin)
Lineage: Eukaryota; Metazoa; Chordata; Mammalia; Primates; Cebidae
Rfam family: Metazoan signal recognition particle RNA
About the family: The signal recognition particle (SRP) is a universally conserved ribonucleoprotein. It is involved in the co-translational targeting of proteins to membranes.
Source: Ensembl